GACGAACGCUGGCGGCGUGCUUAACAUAUGCAAGUCGAACGAUGAAGCUGGAGCUUGCUCCGGUGGAUUAGUGGCGAACGGGUGAGUAACACGUGAGAAAUCUGCCCUUGACUCUGGGAUAACUGCGGGAAACUGUAGCUAAUACCGGAUAUUUUCCUUGGUGGGCAUCCCCUGGGGACGAAAGAAUUUCGGUCAAGGAUGAUCUCGCGGCCUAUCAGCUAGUUGGUGAGGUAAUGGCUCACCAAGGCGAGGACGGGUAGCCGGCCUGAGAGGGUGACCGGCCACACUGGGACUGAGACACGGCCCAGACUCCUACGGGAGGCAGCAGUGGGGAAUAUUGCACAAUGGGCGCAAGCCUGAUGCAGCAACGCCGCGUGAGGGAUGAAGGCCUUCGGGUUGUAAACCUCUUUUAGCAGGGAAGAAGCGAAAGUGACGGUACCUGCAGAAAAAGCACCGGCUAACUACGUGCCAGCAGCCGCGGUAA
Molecule: ribosomal RNA, 484 nt
Filed under: uncultured bacterium
Lineage: Bacteria
Description: partial 16S ribosomal RNA
Rfam family: Bacterial small subunit ribosomal RNA
Source: RNAcentral